CAAGCUUUGAUCAAGGUUAUAUAACUUUGUGCUGGUUUGUGCUUAGAAGCCUCAUUUCCCCUUUGCCACUCACCCCCAAAACUUAGGGCAGAAGACCGUAUAGUGCCUGGGGUUUACAUUAGUACAAAAUCACUUUCAUUCAGGAUAAAGUUCUGUAUCCAUAAACAUGCCUUUACAUGACACCGGGCAUACACGACAUGGGACCUGAAGAAAAGGACAAGGCACUGAAUAAUUUUUAUUUAUUUAUUUCUUUAUUUACUUAUUCAUCACGUAUGUAGUGACUGAGAAUUUGCCAAUUACCAGGAACUGCCCUAGACGUUUAACACUUUUAUGUGAGCCUUAAAAGAUAGACGCGUUCAUGUCCUUUGCCUACUUUUUAAU
RNAcentral lists this long non-coding RNA (381 nucleotides) under Homo sapiens (human). Its description in RNAcentral is "HSALNT0172184". Lineage: Eukaryota; Metazoa; Chordata; Mammalia; Primates; Hominidae. The record is from RNAcentral.